AAGCAUUUCCAUGAACUACCGCACAUAACUUUAUAAAAGACAAUGUUAUUACCCCUGCUUCUUAGACAAGGACACACUCAAGGGCAGGGAGGGUAAAUGGCGCUUGGAAAGGGAAACAGCAAAUAAGAGAGAGCUGGAUCCCACAGCCACAACUUUCUGACCUCAGGGCCAGCCCUACGCCAUCAAUGGUGUUAUUGGGGGUCUUGUGGCGCAUGUCCCUGUGGGACUGGUGGCAGCGUGGGUCAGUGUGGGGCUCCAAAGGGUUCUUAGAGGAUUUCCUCAGGCCCCACUCCUGGCAGCCAGCCCAGCCAGGCUGCCCAACAGCAACGUCCUACAUGCUGUGCUCAGAGGGGUGGGUGCUUCUUCGCUUUGCUGUGCUGGAAGCCAUGUGCGCUCUUCUCCAUCUGUGACCCCGUUAGGUCUCGGGGAAAGUUGAACCAGGUGAUUUCUUAUCUCUCAUCCCAAGUAGUUCCUGUUUUUGAAGACAGGUGAGUGCUACCUCUGCCGUACCAGGGCCAUGUGCUAUGAAUUAUCUUUUCUGAAGUUAGAAGGUAUAUCUAGUUCUCACCAUCAUCUGCAAAUGCCAAGGUUGCUGACAGGGCGCUGAGCAGAGAACCUGGCCCACAAACAGUUGACGCGAGGAUUCUGGCCUCCUCCCCUGGGAGCGAACCGUUGAAGCUGGCUGGACCCAGCCUCACUCCAGGGAGCAGGCCUGUUUUUCCAUCAAAUGCUCAGGAAAAUGUCUAGGUGACGUUGGAAAGCUGUAGAAUAAAACCAAUGUCUCAGCUUCAGUGAACCCCGAUGUCUCGGGAGAGGCUGAUUUUCCCUGCUAUAGAACUGCGUCAGACGCCUGAGAUGCAUGCAUCCUGCUGCUCGCCACGCCCGUGCCCGGUCACAGAGGCUCCUAGCGCUCGCAUCCUCAGGCCUGCGCGCUGCUGGGGGAGGAACACACCCGGCCAAGUGCAGCUCAUUUAUGGGCCCAGGGCUGAGAGCAGCUGCCUUUCAUCGUCUCCCUCAGAUUAA
RNAcentral lists this long non-coding RNA (1023 nucleotides) under Equus caballus (horse). RNAcentral describes it as "lncRNA (ENSECAG00000036338.3)". The record is from RNAcentral. Lineage: Eukaryota; Metazoa; Chordata; Mammalia; Perissodactyla; Equidae.